Molecule: long non-coding RNA, 372 nt
Organism: Pezoporus flaviventris
Lineage: Eukaryota; Metazoa; Chordata; Aves; Psittaciformes; Psittacidae
Exons: 2
Source: RefSeq, a predicted model, not a curated record
GCAUGCUUCUUUUCAGUUCAAAAGAACCCUAUAUCCUGAUGAUGGAGCUGAGGGGAGUCAUUGUUUGCAAAGCAAAUCCGUGACACUUCUGCUUCUGAAGUGUAGAGCCUAGGAAGGAUUGGAAAAUGGAGAUUGUCUCACUGACUUUCCCUGUCAUGCACAUCUGAGCUUCUGAGUGAAAUAUAUUGUUUUAAGAGAAGGUGAACAGCAGCGUAAAUCAAGUAUGAGCAGGUCGUUCUAUGGCUAUUUUCCUUCGGAAAACAUAACAGUAAUGAGAUUUAGAAGGUGGAAGCAAGGCUCGCAGUAGAGAAAUGCAUGAUGGUGACUGACAACCAAAGCAAGAGGAAUAAAGGGACCCAUGUUUUCAAUUAA